This 442-nucleotide ribosomal RNA is filed under the name uncultured bacterium. RNAcentral describes it as "partial 16S ribosomal RNA". It matches the Rfam family "Bacterial small subunit ribosomal RNA", at positions 338 to 795 of the family's 1533-position model. The record is from RNAcentral.
CCUACGGGUGGCAGCAGUAGGGAAUCUUUCACAAUGGGCGAAAGCCUGAUGGAGCAACGCCGCGUGCAGGAUGAAGGCCCUCGGGUUGUAAACUGCUUUUAUAAGCGGGAUAAAUGAUGGCAACUUAUGAAUAAGGAUCGGCUAACUACGUGCCAGCAGCCGCGGUCAUACGUAGGAUCCGAGCAUUAUCCGGAGUGACUGGGUGUAAAGAGGUGUGUAGGUGGCAUAAUAAGUAGCUAGUGAAAUCUGGUGGCUCAACCAUUCAGACUAUUAGCUAAACUGUUAAGCUCGAGACCGUUAGGGGUAACUGGAAUUUCUAGUGUAGGAGUGAAAUCCGUAGAUAUUAGGAAGAACACCGAUAGCGUAGGCAGGUUGCUGGGACGGUUCUGACACUGAGGCACGAAAGCGUAGGGAGCAAACGGGAUUAGAUACCCGUGUAGUC